This 281-nucleotide long non-coding RNA is filed under the name Homo sapiens (human). RNAcentral describes it as "HSALNT0318730". Lineage: Eukaryota; Metazoa; Chordata; Mammalia; Primates; Hominidae. The record is from RNAcentral.
GAUUUAAAAGGCGUCUUCUGAUAAACCUCAGCAUCUCCUUACUAACAUACUAAGAGCAAUCACUGAACACUUUUCGUAUGUUCAAUGCGUCCUCGCGGGAUCUGAGAAGCAUUGUCCUAUUAAAUCUCAGUCGUCUGAUUUUCAGCAUCAAUUUAUCUUGGGAGCUGCUCCUGCAUUUUAUAAGGUGAAUUCUACAGCAACGAGAUUAAAGAUUCAGAAAGUCUUAUUGGCUGUGCAAACUUGAGGGAGUUGCCUAACCACUCUGGGCCCUGUUUUCCUGG